UGGCUGAGGAACGCUGAGGGAAAAGCUGAAUUUUGGAAUUUUGGAGAGGCUGAAGCAUGUGGCAUCUCCCAGGAUCAGCCCCAGCCUCUGCUGUCUCCAAUUUCUGCCCAGACAUCUGAUAUUCCCGAGCUCUUCCCACCCUCCAAGGCCUCUGCAAGUGUUAAGUAUUUUUUUGCAUCCAGCAAAUGGAACAAUAAGGGAGGACUUAAUUUUCCCAUCUGUCAACUCAUCCCGAACAAAUUGUACGUCUUCCUCUUCGGAGUGAAAUCUCAGCUAAAUUAAAACAUUUACUGUUCAUUUUCAUGUAGCAGAGGUUCUGCAGGAAAUUCUGUCAUCACAUUUCUGCCUGAUGCUGUCUGUCUGUCCUGCCCUCGGCCUGUCCCUCCUGCUGUCCCAAUGUCAGCCAGCUGGCUGGCUCAGAUAAGGGCUCCAGGGGCAGAUAAGAAGUUCCUCCCCUUCUCCUCCCUCUCCUGGAGCAGCAGCAAAUGGUGAGGCUGAGCUUUGACAGCCCCACAAACACCCAGGAAAGUGAAAACAAUCCCAGCCCCUCCCAGGCUCUGGGAAAAACAUUUGUGAACGCAAUUCUUUGGUGAGAGAAGUGAAAUAAUAACAAAAAAAAAAGUUACCCUUGAGGUUCCAGGGCAGGGUUACCUGGAGCAAACGCCGCUCUGUGAUGUGGCAAGGACACACCCUGCAGGACACAGCAGAGGGGAUCUGCUCCUCGCUGGCCCCCAAGGGGGGCAAGAAUCAGGACAAGAAUCCGUGUUUGCAGAGCCCUGUGAUGGCAGCAGCACGGCUCAGCCCCGCUGUCUGUCCAUAAAUCCAGGACACAAAGAAAAGUGGGAACAAACCGCCUGUAACUCAGCAAAGUUCCUGGAAGGAGCCCAAAAGCCGUGUCUAAUGCUAAUAAUAAGCGUAUUUCCCAAAGCACAGGGGAAGAUCUGAGCUGAAGGAAAUGGAACUCUCCCAGACCAGGAUGAUCUCAAUCAGGAAUCCAGGAAUUUUCAGGAUUUUUGAUCUGCAGGAGGAAAUCUUGAUGGGAUGUUGAGUCAGAAUCUUGUAAUUCUUACUUGAAAGACCAUUAAAAUGGAAAUAUUUUCUCAGGAGGAAAUCUUGGUGGAACGAUGAGUCAGAACCUUGUAAUCCUUAUUGGAAAGACCAUUAAAAUGGAAAUAUUUUCUGAAAUACAGCACAGGUGGGGAUCUGAGCUGCAGAGCAAAUGCUGCAGGUGAAACUUGCCCUGAAAAUCCCUCCCCAGUCCAGAGGUGAGUGAGUGAUGAGCCAAAAAAAGAGGAUUUCGAGACAAUGUGACUCCAGCAGGCCAUGAGAACAAUGAGAAGUUCAAAAAUAGCACUAUUGACUGGUGGAAAAACAACAUACAUAUAAUUUUCAGGCUUUGCUUAUUAAGAAUCAUUUACUAUCUGUAGAAACAACUUCUGACUUAAGCACUGGGGCCUUAAAAAAUCACUUUUAAUUGGAAUGAGAGAGUUCCUCCCAGUGAAACCCUGGGUCUGUUGAUGCUGGAAGUCUGGAGAGUGCAAUUAAAAGCCUCCUUCACCUCUGUGAUGAUAUCUUGGAAAUAAAUGCAGCUUUCUGGAGUUUUUCUCCUCGUGUUUGAAUAGUUUUUUGGCCAAUUUGGAGCUUCUGGAGGAUCUGAUGUUUUAAGUUUUGCCUGGCUUUGAAUUUCUCAGCUGCCCAGGACCUGCUGUGGUUGCUUUUUACUCUUUCUUCUUCUGCUGCAUCCACAAAUUAUGAAAAUGGGUGCUAAUGACCAAAAAAAAAAAAAAAAUCCCAAUCGUGAUUCAUGGAAAUGGAAUUUUGUUGACAAAAAAAGGGGGAUUUAACUUGGCCAAAGGAAAUGCUUUUCCAACUGGAGAUGAAUAUCUCAGGAAUGACCAUUUCUUCUCAGAGACAGAACUAUUCCAGUUUUCAUUUCAGAAAAAACAAAAUAGAAUAAUGCAAAUAAAGACCUGGAGAAAAGCAAGCAGAUCCACCCAAAAGGGGCAGUUUUUCCAGGCAAAGAAGUCCCAAAAGUGAAUUUUGGGAUGGGAAUUCUGUCACUCCAGGCUGGGAGUUCUGUCAUUGCAGGAUGGGAAUACAGGUUAACUAUAUGUGACCUGUCCACCUUGGUCAAAAUCCACAGUUUUGUCCUGGAUUGAUGGGAGGUGACACAUCCUGAUACCAUUCCAUUGUCAUCCCUAUCUACUAGGAGUUGUUUUCUUCAGGGCUUCAUAUAAAUAUUCUUACCAAUAAACAGCAUUGUAUCAAAAAGCUCCUUAAA
Melospiza melodia melodia is the source of this 2281-nucleotide long non-coding RNA. RefSeq lists it as uncharacterized. The record is from RefSeq and is a predicted model, not a curated record. NCBI's taxonomy places the organism in Eukaryota, Metazoa, Chordata, Aves, Passeriformes, Passerellidae. The transcript has 8 exons.